RNAcentral lists this transfer RNA (103 nucleotides) under Nitrososphaeraceae archaeon. Its description in RNAcentral is "tRNA-Ser". It matches the Rfam family "tRNA". From Rfam's summary of the family: Transfer RNA (tRNA) molecules are approximately 80 nucleotides in length. Their secondary structure includes four short double-helical elements and three loops (D, anti-codon, and T loops). Lineage: Archaea; Thermoproteati; Nitrososphaerota; Nitrososphaeria; Nitrososphaerales; Nitrososphaeraceae. The record is from RNAcentral.
GCCGGGGUACCCAAGCUAGGUAAGGGGUCAGCCUCGAGAUCUUAGGCCUACGUGUAAGCUGAUGUCCGUCAAGGACUCGUGGGUUCGAGUCCCACUCCCGGCG